GAUGAACGCUAGCGGCAGGCCUAACACAUGCAAGUCGAGGGGUAGAAGGAGCUUGCUCCUUUGAGACCGGCGCACGGGUGCGUAACGCGUAUGCAAUCUACCUUGUACAGGGAAUAGCCCAGAGAAAUUUGGAUUAAUGCCCCAUAGUAUAUAACCUUCGCAUGUUGGUUAUAUUAAAGUUCCAACGGUACAAGAUGAGCAUGCGUCCCAUUAGUUAGUUGGUAAGGUAACGGCUUACCAAGACGAUGAUGGGUAGGGGUCCUGAGAGGGAGAUCCCCCACACUGGUACUGAGACACGGACCAGACUCCUACGGGAGGCAGCAGUGAGGAAUAUUGGUCAAUGGUCGCAAGACUGAACCAGCCAUGCCGCGUGCAGGAAGACGGUCCUAUGGAUUGUAAACUGCUUUUAUACAGGAAGAAACCCUCCCACGUGUGGGAGCUUGACGGUACUGUAGGAAUAAGGAUCGGCUAACUCCGUG
This 479-nucleotide ribosomal RNA is filed under the name uncultured bacterium. Its description in RNAcentral is "bacterial SSU rRNA". It matches the Rfam family "Bacterial small subunit ribosomal RNA", at positions 28 to 507 of the family's 1533-position model. The record is from RNAcentral.